This 140-nucleotide unclassified non-coding RNA is filed under the name uncultured Helotiales. Its description in RNAcentral is "sequence contains ITS2". Lineage: Eukaryota; Fungi; Ascomycota; Leotiomycetes; Helotiales. The record is from RNAcentral.
CAACCUUCAAGCUCUGCUUGGUAUUGGGCGUCACAUGGGGAGUGCGCUUUAAAAUUAGUGGCGGUGCCAUUUAGGUUCCAGUGUAGUAAUUUUCUCGCUGUGGAUAUCUAGGUGUGCUCUUCCAAUAAGUAUUCUUCAAA